This is a long non-coding RNA of Contarinia nasturtii (swede midge), 1459 nucleotides long. RefSeq lists it as uncharacterized. The record is from RefSeq and is a predicted model, not a curated record. Lineage: Eukaryota; Metazoa; Arthropoda; Insecta; Diptera; Cecidomyiidae. The transcript has 3 exons.
GCUCUGGCUCUGUGCAGCUGCGUUAAAUAUCCAGAUAUUCUAAAAUAUCUCGGAUGGAUAUCUAUCUGAAAUACAUAGACUGAAAAAAAUCAACUUGAGCUAUGAGCGCUAAAAGCAACGUAUUCGAAGAUGUAUGCGCAAAUACACCAAUUUAUUUUGUAUGUUUAAAGAUGACGAUCAGUCUAUCUUUAACUGCCGAGUUUCACAGGGAUUGGAUUACGAUUAUUGAGCUACCUUUAGACUAAAGAAAACAAGACACUCAAUUUCUCAAUGUGAAAUGAGAUUUGAGUUUACUUGAUCUGCUGGAGGCUCAAAAAAGAAUGAAUAUACUAGGAGUGCACCACCAGUUUAUAGAAAUUGUGCACUCAAUUAAAUGCAUUCACAACCUAAUUAUUGUCGGUCAAACAAAAUACAUGAAAGAACUCUGAAAAUGGCGAAAUAAAUUGAAACAAGUGUUCAAACAUGAACGAAUUGGUGAGUUACGGUUGGUACGAAAUGAAAUGAAAUAAAAAGAGAAAAGUUAUUACAAAAAUAUUUACUUUCUGGAGAAAUUCAUCUGUGCUUCUGCGAUUCUCAGAAUACCAAAUGUUGUGUUGUUAUAUUAAAGCCUUUAAUUUAAAGGUAGGCAAUAGCUAUAAAUACUGCAUGAAAAUUAGUUCAAAACACCAGUAACCAUUCGCUCUCAAGCAAGUGCAUAUUCAAAUUUAUAAAAGAAAUAAAAAAGCUUGAAAAAUGAAUUCAAAAGCAAUCGUACUCUUUGUAGCAGUCAUUUUAUUUGCUGUGACCGUAUACUCUCAAUAUACUUCCCGUCCGACCAUCCAACAGGGAUCAAGAGGCCAAGCAGUAAGAGACCUUCAAAUAAAGCUCAAUGAAUACGGAUACGGGCUCGAAGUCGACGGCAUCUUCGGCCCCAAAACUAAAAGCGCCGUGAUAUCGUUCCAGCAGUUAACCGAGAUCGAUGUCGACGGCAUCGUCGGCCCACAGACUUGGGGGGCUCUGGGCCUCUAAUGAGCCCCUCUGUCGCUGUCACCAUUGACAUAUAUUCAUUUAUUUUAUUUUCAUUUCAUUUUUAUUUUAUUUUCAAGCACCAAAUGAACGACGGAAUGUUCAACGACGACAAAUUUGCCAAAUAUGUUUAAUGUGAUCGUCGUUUAAAUGCAACUUUCUUUGGCGAUUUUCGUUUAAAUGGGCGUUCUGCAUCUAUAUUAAUCAUUUUGAUUGUCAUCAUUUCGCUGUUUCGGAUGAAAGUCGAAUAUGCAAAUUGUUGAACAAAAAGUCACUGCCGAUUACAUUGAAAGGGAUUUAAACAACGACAACUUUACUCCGGUCGACUAUCAUGUCAUCAGCUCAUGUCAUUUUUCAGCCGAUUCAAUUUGUAUUGUUACAAAGUCGAUUUCAAUUGAAAUGAAUAAUUGUUGCAUAAAAUGUUUCUCUUUUUAAAAAUCAUAUGUUCACAAAA